GAAACGGUGGCUAAUACCGCAUAACGUCGCAAGACCAAAGAGGGGGACCUUCGGGCCUCUUGCCAUCAGAUGUGCCCAGAUGGGAUUAGCUUGUUGGUGAGGUAACGGCUCACCAAGGCGACGAUCCCUAGCUGGUCUGAGAGGAUGACCAGCCACACUGGAACUGAGACACGGUCCAGACUCCUACGGGAGGCAGCAGUGGGGAAUAUUGCACAAUGGGCGCAAGCCUGAUGCAGCCAUGCCGCGUGUAUGAAGAAGGCCUUCGGGUUGUAAAGUACUUUCAGCGGGGAGGAAGGUGUUGUGGUUAAUAACCACAGCAAUUGACGUUACCCGCAGAAGAAGCACCGGCUAACUCCGUGCCAGCAGCCGCGGUAAUACGGAGGGUGCAAGCGUUAAUCGGAAUUACUGGGCGUAAAGCGCACGCAGGCGGUCUGUCAAGUCGGAUGUGAAAUCCCCGGGCUCAACCUGGGAACUGCAUUCGAAACUGGCAGGCUUGAGUCUUGUAGAGGGGGGUAGAAUUCCAGGUGUAGCGGUGAAAUGCGUAGAGAUCUGGAGGAAUACCGGUGGCGAAGGCGGCCCCCUGGACAAAGACUGACGCUCAGGUGCGAAAGCGUGGGGAGCAAACAGGAUUAGAUACCCUGGUAGUCCACGCCGUAAACGAUGUCUACUUGGAGGUUGUGCCCUUGAGGCGUGGCUUCCGGAGCUAACGCGUUAAGUAGACCGCCUGGGGAGUACGGCCGCAAGGUUAAAACUCAAAUGAAUUGACGGGGGCCCGCACAAGCGGUGGAGCAUGUGGUUUAAUUCGAUGCAACGCGAAGAACCUUACCUGGUCUUGACAUCCACAGAACUUUCCAGAGAUGGAUUGGUGCCUUCGGGAACUGUGAGACAGGUGCUGCAUGGCUGUCGUCAGCUCGUGUUGUGAAAUGUUGGGUUAAGUCCCGCAACGAGCGCAACCCUUAUCCUUUGUUGCCAGCGGUCCGGCCGGGAACUCAAAGGAGACUGCCAGUGAUAAACUGGAGGAAGGUGGGGAUGACGUCAAGUCAUCAUGGCCCUUACGACCAGGGCUACACACGUGCUACAAUGGCGCAUACAAAGAGAAGCGACCUCGCGAGAGCAAGCGGACCUCAUAAAGUGCGUCGUAGUCCGGAUUGGAGUCUGCAACUCGACUCCAUGAAGUCGGAAUCGCUAGUAAUCGUGGAUCAGAAUGCCACGGUGAAUACGUUCCCGGGCCUUGUACACACCGCCCGUCACACCAUGGGAGUGGGUUGCAAAAGAAGUAGGUAGCUUAACCUUCGGGAGGGCGCUUACCACUUUGUGAUUCAUGACUGGGGUGAAGUCGUAACAAGGUAACCGUAGGGGAACCUGC
Molecule: ribosomal RNA, 1366 nt
Filed under: Salmonella enterica subsp. enterica serovar Carmel
Lineage: Bacteria; Pseudomonadati; Pseudomonadota; Gammaproteobacteria; Enterobacterales; Enterobacteriaceae
Description: bacterial SSU rRNA
Rfam family: Bacterial small subunit ribosomal RNA
Source: RNAcentral